Molecule: ribosomal RNA, 576 nt
Filed under: Streptomyces albus
Lineage: Bacteria; Bacillati; Actinomycetota; Actinomycetes; Kitasatosporales; Streptomycetaceae
Description: bacterial SSU rRNA
Rfam family: Bacterial small subunit ribosomal RNA
Source: RNAcentral
AAGGGUAGCCGGCCUGAGAGGGCGACCGGCCACACUGGGACUGAGACACGGCCCAGACUCCUACGGGAGGCAGCAGUGGGGAAUAUUGCACAAUGGGCGAAAGCCUGAUGCAGCGACGCCGCGUGAGGGAUGACGGCCUUCGGGUUGUAAACCUCUUUCAGCAGGGAAGAAGCGAGAGUGACGGUACCUGCAGAAGAAGCGCCGGCUAACUACGUGCCAGCAGCCGCGGUAAUACGUAGGGCGCAAGCGUUGUCCGGAAUUAUUGGGCGUAAAGAGCUCGUAGGCGGCUUGUCACGUCGGUUGUGAAAGCCCGGGGCUUAACCCCGGGUCUGCAGUCGAUACGGGCAGGCUAGAGUUCGGUAGGGGAGAUCGGAAUUCCUGGUGUAGCGGUGAAAUGCGCAGAUAUCAGGAGGAACACCGGUGGCGAAGGCGGAUCUCUGGGCCGAUACUGACGCUGAGGAGCGAAAGCGUGGGGAGCGAACAGGAUUAGAUACCCUGGUAGUCCACGCCGUAAACGGUGGGCACUAGGUGUGGGCAACAUUCCACGUUGUCCGUGCCGCAGCUAACGCAUUAAUG